CCAUGAAGCUGUGAGCGCCCGAAGUCCGUGCAGCAACCGCAAGGAGCAAGCGGCCGAAGGCGAGCGCAGUGACUGGGGCG
RNAcentral lists this ribosomal RNA (80 nucleotides) under uncultured bacterium. RNAcentral describes it as "partial 16S ribosomal RNA". The record is from RNAcentral.